CUUAACACAUGCAAGUCGAGGGGAAACGGCAUUGAGUGCUUGCACUCUUUGGACGUCGACCGGCGCACGGGUGAGUAACGCGUAUCCAACCUUCCCAUUACUGUGGGAUAACCUGCCGAAAGGCAGACUAAUACCGCAUAGUCUUCGAUGACGGCAUCAGAUUUGAGGUAAAGAUUUAUCGGUAAUGGAUGGGGAUGCGUCUGAUUAGCUUGUUGGCGGGGUAACGGCCCACCAAGGCAACGAUCAGUAGGGGUUCUGAGAGGAAGGUCCCCCACAUUGGAACUGAGACACGGUCCAAACUCCUACGGGAGGCAGCAGUGAGGAAUAUUGGUCAAUGGACGGAAGUCUGAACCAGCCAAGUAGCGUGCAGGAUGACGGCCCUAUGGGUUGUAAACUGCUUUUGUAUGGGGAUAAAGUUAGGGACGUGUCCCUAUUUGCAGGUACCAUACGAAUAAGGACCGGCUAAUUCCGUGCCAGCAGCCGCGGUAAUACGGAAGGUCCAGGCGUUAUCCGGAUUUAUUGGGUUUAAAGGGAGCGUAGGCUGGAGAUUAAGUGUGUUGUGAAAUGUAGACGCUCAACGUCUGAAUUGCAGCGCAUACUGGUUUCCUUGAGUACGCACAACGUUGGCGGAAUUCGUCGUGUAGCGGUGAAAUGCUUAGAUAUGACGAAGAACUCCGAUUGCGAAGGCAGCUGACGGGAGCGCAACUGACGCUUAAGCUCGAAGGUGCGGGUAUCAAACAGGAUUAGAUACCCUGGUAGUCCGCACAGUAAACGAUGGAUGCCCGCUGUUGGUACCUGGUAUCAGCGGCUAAGCGAAA
Molecule: ribosomal RNA, 818 nt
Filed under: uncultured Prevotella sp.
Lineage: Bacteria; Pseudomonadati; Bacteroidota; Bacteroidia; Bacteroidales; Prevotellaceae
Description: bacterial SSU rRNA
Rfam family: Bacterial small subunit ribosomal RNA
Source: RNAcentral